This 161-nucleotide ribosomal RNA is filed under the name Philadelphus lewisii. RNAcentral describes it as "5.8S ribosomal RNA". It matches the Rfam family "5.8S ribosomal RNA". From Rfam's summary of the family: 5.8S ribosomal RNA (5.8S rRNA) is a component of the large subunit of the eukaryotic ribosome. It is transcribed by RNA polymerase I as part of the 45S precursor that also contains 18S and 28S rRNA. Functionally, it is thought that 5.8S rRNA may be involved in ribosome translocation. Lineage: Eukaryota; Viridiplantae; Streptophyta; Magnoliopsida; Cornales; Hydrangeaceae. The record is from RNAcentral. RNAcentral also lists the same sequence under 18 other names.
ACGACUCUCGGCAACGGAUAUCUCGGCUCUCGCAUCGAUGAAGAACGUAGCGAAAUGCGAUACUUGGUGUGAAUUGCAGAAUCUCGUGAACCAUCGAGUCUUUGAACGCAAGUUGCGCCCGAAGCCAUUAGGCCGAAGGCACGUCUGCCUGGGCGUCUCGC